UCGAGGGGAAACGGGAGAAUAGCUUGCUAUUCUUUGUCGUCGACCGGCGCACGGGUGAGUAACGCGUAUCCAACCUUCCCAUAACUAAGGAAUACCCCGUAGAAAUGCGGCCUAAUCCCUUAUGGUCUCUUAUGCCUGUCAUGGGGAUAAGAGUAAAGAUUUAUCGGUUAUGGAUGGGGAUGCGUCUGAUUAGCUUGCUGGCGGGGUAACGGCCCACCAGGGCAUCGAUCAGUAGGGGUUCUGAGAGGAAGGUCCCCCACAUUGGAACUGAGACACGGUCCAAACUCCUACGGGAGGCAGCAGUGAGGAAUAUUGGUCAAUGGGCGUAAGCCUGAACCAGCCAAGUAGCGUGCAGGAUGACGGCCCUAUGGGUUGUAAACUGCUUUUUAAGGUGAAUAAAGAGGGGCACGUGUGCCCUGUUGCAUGUAGCCUUGGAAUAAGGACCGGCUAAUUCCGUGCCAGCAGCCGCGGUAAUACGGAAGGUCCGGACGUUAUCCGGAUUUAUUGGGUUUAAAGGGAGCGUAGGCCGGGGAUUAAGUGUGUUGUGAAAUGUAGGCGCCCAACGUCUGACUUGCAGCGCAUACUGGUUCCCUUGAGUACGCGCAACGCCGGCGGAAUUCGUCGUGUAGCGGUGAAAUGCUUAGAUAUGACGAAGAACUCCGAUUGCGAAGGCAGCUUGCGGGAGCACAACUGACGCUGAAGCUCGAAAGUGCGGGUAUCGAACAGGAUU
Molecule: ribosomal RNA, 730 nt
Filed under: uncultured Prevotella sp.
Lineage: Bacteria; Pseudomonadati; Bacteroidota; Bacteroidia; Bacteroidales; Prevotellaceae
Description: bacterial SSU rRNA
Rfam family: Bacterial small subunit ribosomal RNA
Source: RNAcentral